GGGAAUGUGGCUUAGUGGUAAAGUGCUUGUCUAGCAUGCAUGAAGCCCUGGGUUCGAUUCCUCAGUACCA
Molecule: transfer RNA, 70 nt
Filed under: Dipodomys ordii (Ord's kangaroo rat)
Lineage: Eukaryota; Metazoa; Chordata; Mammalia; Rodentia; Heteromyidae
Rfam family: tRNA
About the family: Transfer RNA (tRNA) molecules are approximately 80 nucleotides in length. Their secondary structure includes four short double-helical elements and three loops (D, anti-codon, and T loops).
Source: Rfam by way of RNAcentral